GCGGCGUGCCUAAUACAUGCAAGUCGAGCGGACAGAUGGGAGCUUGCUCCCUGAUGUUAGCGGCGGACGGGUGAGUAACACGUGGGUAACCUGCCUGUAAGACUGGGAUAACUCCGGGAAACCGGGGCUAAUACCGGAUGGUUGUUUGAACCCGCAUGGUUCAAACAUAAAAGGUGGCUUCGGCUACCACUUACAGAUGGACCCGCGGCGCAUUAGCUAGUUGGUGAGGUAACGGCUCACCAAGGCAACGAUGCGUAGCCGACCUGAGAGGGUGAUCGGCCACACUGGGACUGAGACACGGCCCAGACUCCUACGGGAGGCAGCAGUAGGGAAUCUUCCGCAAUGGACGAAAGUCUGACGGAGCAACGCCGCGUGAGUGAUGAAGGUUUUCGGAUCGUAAAGCUCUGUUGUUAGGGAAGAACAAGUACCGUUCGAAUAGGGCGGUACCUUGACGGUACCUAACCAGAAAGCCACGGCUAACUACGUGCCAGCAGCCGCGGUAAUACGUAGGUGGCAAGCGUUGUCCGGAAUUAUUGGGCGUAGAGGGCUCGCACGCGGUUUUCUUAAGUCUGAUGUGAAAGCCCCCGGCUCAACCGGGGGAGGGUCAUUGGAAACUGGUGAACUUGAGUGCAAAAGGAGGGAGAAGUGCCACUUCCACGUGUAGCGGUAAAGUGCAUAGAGAGGUGGAGAAACACCUGUGGACCAGGGUAACCUCUCUGGCCUGUCCCUGCACCCCUGAUGAGUAAAAGCGUGGGGAAGCGAAACAGGGAUUAGAUUACCCUUGGUAGUCCAACGCCGUAAAACGAUGAGUGCUAAAGUGUUAAGGGGGGUUUCCCGCCCCUUUAGUGCUGCAGCUAAACGCCAUUUAAGCACUCCGCCUGGGGGAGUACGGUCGCAAGACUGAAAACUCAAAGGAAAUUGACGGGGGCCCGCACAAGCGGUGGAGCAUGUGGUUUUAAUUCGAAGCAACGCGAAGAACCUUACCAGGUCUUGACAUCCUCUGACAAUCCUAGAGAUAGGACGUCCCCUUCGGGGGCAGAGUGACAGGUGGUGCAUGGUUGUCGUCAGCUCGUGUCGUGAGAUGUUGGGUUAAGUCCCGCAACGAGCGCAACCCUUGAUCUUAGUUGCCAGCAUUCAGUUGGGCACUCUAAGGUGACUGCCGGUGACAAACCGGAGGAAGGUGGGGAUGACGUCAAAUCAUCAUGCCCCUUAUGACCUGGGCUACACACGUGCUACAAUGGACAGAACAAAGGGCAGCGAAACCGCGAGGUUAAGCCAAUCCCACAAAUCUGUUCUCAGUUCGGAUCGCAGUCUGCAACUCGACUGCGUGAAGCUGGAAUCGCUAGUAAUCGCGGAUCAGCAUGCCGCGGUGAAUACGUUCCCGGGCCUUGUACACACCGCCCGUCACACCACGAGAGUUUGUAACACCCGAAGUCGGUGAGGUAACCUUUUAGGAGCCAGCCGCCGAAGGUGGGACAGAUGAUUGGGGUGAAG
Molecule: ribosomal RNA, 1494 nt
Filed under: Bacillus subtilis
Lineage: Bacteria; Bacillati; Bacillota; Bacilli; Caryophanales; Bacillaceae
Description: bacterial SSU rRNA
Rfam family: Bacterial small subunit ribosomal RNA
Source: RNAcentral